Non-coding RNA from Zonotrichia albicollis (white-throated sparrow), 243 nucleotides. Lineage: Eukaryota; Metazoa; Chordata; Aves; Passeriformes; Passerellidae. The record is from RefSeq and is a predicted model, not a curated record.
UGUAUCCCAGGUGUGUCUCACCUGCAGUUCCUGCAGUCUCCUCCGGAGGGCGCCGUUGUCGCGCCGCAGCCGCUCGUUGUUGGCCAGCGCCAGGUGUAACCCCGGUGUAACCCCGGUGUAACCCAGGUGUAUCCCAGGUGUAACCCCGGUGUAACCCCGGUGUAUCCCAGGUGUGUCUCACCUGCAGUUCCUGCAGCCUCCUCCGGAGGGCGCCGUUGUCGCGCCGCAGCCGCUCGUUGUCGG